AGUGAACGCUGGCGGUAGGCCUAACACAUGCAAGUCGAACGGCAGCACAGUAAGAGCUUGCUCUUACGGGUGGCGAGUGGCGGACGGGUGAGGAAUACAUCGGAAUCUACUUUUUCGUGGGGGAUAACGUAGGGAAACUUACGCUAAUACCGCAUACGACCUACGGGUGAAAGCUGGGGAUCUUCGGACCUUGCGCGAUUGAAUGAGCCGAUGUCGGAUUAGCUAGUUGGCGGGGUAAAGGCCCACCAAGGCGACGAUCCGUAGCUGGUCUGAGAGGAUGAUCAGCCACACUGGAACUGAGACACGGUCCAGACUCCUACGGGAGGCAGCAGUGGGGAAUAUUGGACAAUGGGCGCAAGCCUGAUCCAGCCAUACCGCGUGGGUGAAGAAGGCCUUCGGGUUGUAAAGCCCUUUUGUUGGGAAAGAAAAGCGGCAAGUUAAUACCCCGCUGUUCUGACGGUACCCAAAGAAUAAGCACCGGCUAACUUCGUG
RNAcentral lists this ribosomal RNA (492 nucleotides) under uncultured bacterium. RNAcentral describes it as "partial 16S ribosomal RNA". It matches the Rfam family "Bacterial small subunit ribosomal RNA", at positions 29 to 507 of the family's 1533-position model. The record is from RNAcentral.